This is an RNA transcript of Ziziphus jujuba (common jujube), 1404 nucleotides long. RefSeq lists it as uncharacterized. The transcript is spliced from 9 exons. The record is from RefSeq and is a predicted model, not a curated record. NCBI's taxonomy places the organism in Eukaryota, Viridiplantae, Streptophyta, Magnoliopsida, Rosales, Rhamnaceae.
UUUUUUUUUUUUUUUUUUUUUUGGCUCUGCACAUUAAUGGCGCGCCGAACUCAAACCCUAACGAUGGAAACUCUAGAACCGGCAACCCCUUCUUCCUCCAUAACAGCAGCAACCUCAAAUUCUCAAAACCAAAGCUUGACCCCGUCACCAUUACCGCCAUCAGUAUCAAGGCUUUGGAGGCCAGCGGCACAGAGAAACCUCAGAAAUCAAUGGUCCAAACUAGCUGCUUACAGGCAACAAUGGGCCUCCUCUUCUUCCGCUGGAAAAUCGCACGCCACUUCUCUCGUCAACGCUUAUCUUUCUCAGAUAUAUAUGCCUUCUAUGGAGUUGGGUGCUCUAAAUGAUAUCCCCGGUAUACGAGAGAAGGCUUGUCAGAAAUUGUAUAAGCAGCAGGAGCUUCAUGGGAGGAAACUUUUGUCAUCCUACAAAGACAUGUUGUCUAAGGUGACUGUUGUAACCCACUUGGUCAAAACUAGUAAAUCCAUGAGAUGUUACCUGAAAGGGACAAGCAGCAGUCCACUUGUACAAUUUUCUGGUUGUUCUGAGGAUAAGAGUGAUUCAGGAGAUGGUGGUGGGAUCCCGGUCUUUGUAUUUUGGCCAAUCUCUUGGUUUGAGAAAUUAGCGGAGGAGCUCAUGUUGAUGCUUGUGCAGGAGCUAAUCUUGAAGAGAUUACUAAUGGUGGAGUUGCUAUCCGUUGGUUGUGAAGGAAAAGUGGUUAAUGGGUACAAUUGGUCAGAUGAGCUUUAUCCUGGAGAAUUUGAUGAUUUGAGUAUGUGUACCUUGUUAUCUGGAGAAACGUGUGAGCCAGUCCAUCCAAGACUCCAGAUCCAGAAAUCUAAUAUACUUGCUGCACCAUCUAACCAACAGCCAAACGAAGAUGUUAUGCAGGUUUAUCUAACAACUUGGCUUGCAGAGGUGAACAUAGAUACUGAUAGGGUUGAUGAAAUAUUUGCUGUAAUAGGGGAGGAAAUGCAUGUUACCCUUUGAUAAGCUGCAUGCUACAUUAAAAUAGAUAUCAAACAGAGAUUUGGAGGCUGCAGGGCCCUAAGUUUUGAUGAUAUGCCUAGAGACAUUAUGAAGAGGGAGAGAGGGUCCCCAAGUACUUGAAUCAAGUAACUUAUUGCAAGAGUGCUGGACCAGAGAAAAUGGAAGAACCAUAUUUAAAUGUUCUUAGCUCUGGUGGUGGUUUGCUUGCAUGAGAGCUGAUGCUCACAUAAAAUGAGAGAGUAUAUUAUUUAUUGUACAUUAUUUGUCUCAUCGAUGCACAAGGGUAUAUUAGGAUUGUACUUUGUCAUUUGUGUAAAAAUGAGUCAACAAGUGGCAAUGUGAAUUUGGAAAUGCAACUUCCGUAAUCUGUUUAUAUGGUAGAGCAUUUAUGGAAAUAUUGGUGCAAGGGAUAUCAAA